UUAAAUAAAUCAGUGGUUAUACUAUAUAUCCACUCAUAAAGCAUUCGACCCACCAUCUCCAUGGGUACAAAUUGGACGGUGCCAACAUAUAUAUUAUCAUAAAAUAUGCAAUGUAAGUGCUUAUCUACCACCCUCUCCCUUCUUUACACUUGGUUGUUUUGCCACUACUACAACUUUAACCAACUUUUCAUUAUUAUACCAUUUAUAUAUUCUCUUCUUUUUACUUGUUUUCCAAUCUUUUCUAGACGCUUGUUCUCCAUAUUGUUAGCAUUAUGUUUGGUGAAAAUUGAAUUCUCAAUCUUCUUAUCACUAAACUUCUUUAUUAUUCAAGAGUCUGACUCUCACUCUCACUCACUCCUAUAAAAUUUGUGUCAAGCAUAAGAAUCAUAAUAAACUUUUAUUCUAAUAUCAUGUCAAAAACAUUCAAUGUAUAAUUAUAUACUAUAAAAUGUGGGAGAGAUGAAUAACUCAACUGAUUGAGCUAAGGGUAAAGGAGUUUGAGGUCCUGGUUUAUAUCUUGACAAAGAGUAAAUAUUUAAUCUAACAAAUAAUUAUUAACAUUUGUUAUUAAAAAAAACAUAAAAAAGUGGUCUACAACUUAAAGUUUUAUUUUUUAUUUUUUUAUCCAUCCAUUAGGAUCCAAAUCUAUAUCAAUCCGCAAGUAUUUUUUCUGUAUCAAAUAUCACAAGACAACUUUUACUGCAAUUUAAACCUUAGUUCUAAUUUGGAUGUUGCGAGCAUUUUCGCAGAUUUAUCGUUCUUGUUUUUACUUAUGUUGAAUUUAUGUUUGUAUUUGAUGUAAUCUACUAAUUUGAAUAAACGAAUAUCGUCUUUUUAGUUUAAAAAAAAAUUGACCCAAAUCACGAUGCUUUUGAGAGACCUUUUGGAAAUUAAAUUUGUAUAUUGCAACUUGUUGUUUACUUUUAUUUUUGGCAACUAUUCUCUAGUCUGCUUUUUAAAUUCCCUAACAAGUUGGAAAUUGGAUAUAUGAUACAUCUUUGCCUGCUAAGAGACACACUAUAUAUGCUUGAAUGUCAGGGAAAUGAAAACCCUCUCUUUGCUGAUUUUUCUUCAUUAAAACCUAUAUAUAAGCUAAGCCAAAUAACAACCAGAAUAUGGAGGAAGAAGGAAAUGAAGAGGAUGAAGACAAAUGUGUUCAGUUCAUGAACAUUAUGCUUCUCUCCUUUUGAAGAGAGGAGCAUGAAAUUAAAAGGCAAUUCAUCUAGGCUAAGGGAAGGCCAAGCCUUUCUUCCAGGUUCCAUUCGUGAUGCUACACCGGCACUGGUGAUUACGACAGCUAAAUCAAAUCAAAUAGAGUCUGCAUUUUCAUCUUAAAUCAAUCAAUGUUUGUUUAGUGUUGUUGUAUCUCUUUCUGCUCAUUCUUUAAACUAGUUAGUUUGAAUGGUUAACUCAGAAACCAUGCAUGAUAUAUAUCUAAAUAAAUAUAAUCCAAUAGAUGUAUGUGUCUGUUACGAAGGCAAGCAGCAGAAACUGAGACGGUAACUUGUAUUGUAAUGUUUGCUCUGUUUUUGCUGCAAGCAAUGAAUAAAAUGGUAAACAGUUUGUUGUCACAUAGAAAACUUAAGUGUUUUCCACUGUCAGCAUUUACCUUGUGCUGUAAACAUGUCUGUUGUCUGUUAUUUUUGGAAUUUGUUUAAUGCGACGUGUCCAUUUGUUUCGAAGUUACAAGCUCAAGUCAAGUGCUGACAUAACAUCUUCACUCUGCAGUAAGUCACGAACAAUACGGGUACAUAACUAUAUAUCAUAUGUGAAGAUCUAUGUAAGCAGUUAUCCAUGUACUCAAAGAUUUAUGUAAGCAGUUAUACAUGUACUGCCUCCUAAUUCCUAACAAUAGUAUGACAUUAACAACACACCCAAUUAACCCAACUAACUACCAACGUGAUGUGAGGUUAAACACAGAAAUGAUACCAUUAUACAUCGCACACCUAGUGCUACCACAAGUGAAAAACAUACCAAAAAAAGAUAUUAUAUGAAGACCUUGGAAAGAAGUUCAAAAUGUGUUUUGAUAUAAUGUGAGUGUUCAUUUCUUAGUCUUAUCAGCCUAAAAAGAUAAUUAGAUGUAUUUAUGCAGAUUUUUCUGCCCAAACACCAUACAAGACAGUAUUACUUCGGCGUAUGAGGAUGCUGUGACUCAUGAAAUCCACAUGGCUAGAC
RNAcentral lists this long non-coding RNA (2175 nucleotides) under Medicago truncatula (barrel medic). RNAcentral's name for it is "long non-coding RNA (MTRU_LNC006637)". The record is from RNAcentral. Lineage: Eukaryota; Viridiplantae; Streptophyta; Magnoliopsida; Fabales; Fabaceae.